This 433-nucleotide ribosomal RNA is filed under the name uncultured bacterium. Its description in RNAcentral is "partial 16S ribosomal RNA". It matches the Rfam family "Bacterial small subunit ribosomal RNA", at positions 29 to 507 of the family's 1533-position model. The record is from RNAcentral.
AACGAACGCUGGCGGCAUGCCUAACACAUGCAAGUCGAACGAGGCCUUCGGGUCUAGUGGCGCACGGGUGCGUAACGCGUGGGAACCUGCCCUUAGGUUCGGAAUAACUCCCCGAAAGGGGUGCUAAUACCGGAUAAUGUCUUCGGACCAAAGAUUUAUCGCCUUUGGAUGGGCCUGCGUUGGAUUAGCUAGUUGGUAGGGUAAAAGCCUACCAAGGCGACGAUCCAUAGCUGGUCUGAGAGGAUGAUCAGCCACACUGGGACUGAGACACGGCCCAGACUCCUACGGGAGGCAGCAGUGGGGAAUAUUGGACAAUGGGCGAAAGCCUGAUCCAGCAAUGCCGCGUGAGUGAUGAAGGCCUUAGGGUUGUAAAGCUCUUUUACCCGGGAUGAUAAUGACAGUACCGGGAGAAUAAGCGCCGGCUAACUCCGUG